AACGCACCUUGCGCCCUCUGGUAUUCCGGAGGGCAUGCCUGUUUGAGUGUCAUGAAGACUUCAACCCCUCGGGUUUUGCUCGGGGAUGUUGGACUUGGGUGCUGCCACUCUGUUGGCUCGCCUCAAAUGUGUCAGUGGUAAUCGGGCCCUCGACAGGAGUAAUAAGUUUCUCUUGUCUGUUGGUCUCUGACGGCCGCUUCCAACCCCGCCUCUUUUGGCACCUUAUGACUCUGACCUCAAAUCAGGUAGGACUACCCGCUGAACUUAA
RNAcentral lists this unclassified non-coding RNA (268 nucleotides) under uncultured fungus. Its description in RNAcentral is "partial contains 5.8S ribosomal RNA, internal transcribed spacer 2, and large subunit ribosomal RNA". The stretch from base 1 to 52 matches the Rfam family "5.8S ribosomal RNA", at positions 103 to 154 of the family's 154-position model. Lineage: Eukaryota; Fungi. The record is from RNAcentral.